AGAGUUUGAUCCUGGCUCAGGACGAACGCUGGCGGCGUGCUUAACACAUGCAAGUCGAGCGGAAAGGCCCUUUCGGGGGUACUCGAGCGGCGAACGGGUGAGUAACACGUGAGUAAUCUGCCCUUCACUCUGGGAUAGCCACCGGAAACGGUGAUUAAUACCGGAUAUGACGCACUCUCGCAUGGGAUGUGUGUGGAAACUUUUUUGGGUGGGGGAUGUGCUCGCGGCCUAUCAGCUUGUUGGUGGGGUAAUGGCCUACCAAGGCUUCGACGGGUAGCCGGCCUGAGAGGGUGACCGGCCACACUGGGACUGAGACACGGCCCAGACUCCUACGGGAGGCAGCAGUGGGGAAUAUUGGACAAUGGGCGGAAGCCUGAUCCAGCAACGCCGCGUGAGGGAUGACGGCCUUCGGGUUGUAAACCUCUUUCAGCACCGACGAAGCGCAAGUGACGGUAGGUGCAGAAGAAGGACCGGCCAACUACGUGCCAGCCGCCGCGGUAAUAC
Molecule: ribosomal RNA, 504 nt
Filed under: uncultured bacterium
Lineage: Bacteria
Description: bacterial SSU rRNA
Rfam family: Bacterial small subunit ribosomal RNA
Source: RNAcentral